This 84-nucleotide transfer RNA is filed under the name Cucurbitaria berberidis CBS 394.84. It matches the Rfam family "tRNA". From Rfam's summary of the family: Transfer RNA (tRNA) molecules are approximately 80 nucleotides in length. Their secondary structure includes four short double-helical elements and three loops (D, anti-codon, and T loops). Further hydrogen bonds mediate the characteristic L-shaped molecular structure. tRNAs have two regions of fundamental functional importance: the anti-codon, which is responsible for specific mRNA codon recognition, and the 3' end, to which the tRNAs corresponding amino acid is attached (by aminoacyl-tRNA synthetases). tRNAs cope with the degeneracy of the genetic code in two manners: having more than one tRNA (with a specific anti-codon) for a particular amino acid; and 'wobble' base-pairing, i.e. permitting non-standard base-pairing at the 3rd anti-codon position. The record is from Rfam by way of RNAcentral. Lineage: Eukaryota; Fungi; Ascomycota; Dothideomycetes; Pleosporales; Cucurbitariaceae.
UCCUCCGUGGCGCAAUUGGCUAGCGCGUUCGACUGUUAAGCACGGCAAAUCGAGAGGUUGAAAGUUCGAGCCUUUCCGGGGGAG